Molecule: long non-coding RNA, 3103 nt
Organism: Triticum aestivum (bread wheat)
Lineage: Eukaryota; Viridiplantae; Streptophyta; Magnoliopsida; Poales; Poaceae
Exons: 3
Source: RefSeq, a predicted model, not a curated record
GAACAGACACGACCACGGGCUCUCCUCUCUCUCCCUUUCCUCCUGAUCCCAGCCGCCAGGAGGCGCACGACCUGCGUGACGGUCGAUCCGGUGUCGCGCCGGCCGCCUGCCGAUGUCCGACGCCGGUGAUCGGACCACACUUCACCACCGGUCUGCCUCAGCUGAUCCUUUCCUUCGCGCGCCCGAGCUUCUUGUUGUACGCCGCCCAGGAGGGCCCGCGCUCGCCGCUCGACCAGAGCCACCGCCAGCUGGUCCGGUGCCGCGCCGACCGCCGGCCGAUGGAUGACGGAGGUGAUCGAAGCAUCCUGCACCACCAGUCUGCUUCAUCUCCUCCUUUCCUUCGCGCGCCUGAGCUCCUCGUUGUAUGCCGCCCGGGAGGGCUCGCGCUCGUCGCUCUACCAGAGCCACCACCGGCCGGUCGUCGCUGCACUUUCCCGCGACCUCUCCGCCCCCUCUGCACCACCCUCCACCUCAAUUUAGACGCACAUGUGUUUGUGCAUGUCCUCAGUUAUUGUUUGCACACAAGGUGUUUGUGUGUUUGUCCUAGCCAGUUUCAGUCACAGAUCCUUGAGAGACAAUUAGAUUUUGGAAGCAGGAAUCCUUUCCUCAUAAGAUGGAUGAGCUGUAGGAUUUGAUUCUGUUCAGCUUGGAUUAGUUUUUCAUCAUUAUGUUCUUUGUAUUAGGUAUUCAUGCUUUCCAGCUCUAAUUUUUUUGCAUUGUUGGUGUAUGCUGGGAGUCACAUUGCUAUGCAUGCUAGCAAACAAUAGGAUUGGAAGUCUUACCCUGUAGGUUAUUAAUAUAUUUUCCACUAUACUGAGGUUCAGCAAUUUAAUUCGUAUUAAGGUCACACAAGCAGUUUGGUUUUCAGAUUUGUAUUGACAAACAUAUUUGGUUCAGCAAUUUAAUUCGUAAUUAGAGUCACACAAGCAGUUUGGUUUUUAGAUUUGUCUUAACAAACAUAUUUUGCAGAUUAUCCUUGCAUAAGCAAUUGAUUUCUGCAAGUUCCUUUCACUUAUUUAUUUCUUCACUUGGUUAUGAUGUACUGCUAUUCGUUUUCAUGAUGAUCCAUGCAUUUUGUACUUUUCACUGACAAAAACUUCUCUCUAAACAAGAUUCGUUCCCAUUGUUACAGUGAAGUAGCUACCGAGCAGUGAGGCCAUCGAGCGACACGAGACCGCGGGACGGCGUGAGAAGAAGGGGGGGGGUCUAGGGGGAUGGAGAAGACCACGAGGAAGUGUGGCGAUGGAGUGCAAUCCCGAAGAAGAAGAACAUUGCAAAGAAAGACCCUAGCCAAGCGCCACCCAAUUCUCUUUCACCGACCUAUCUAAUGGCCAUCAAUUCAAUUGGUCCAAGCUGCUGCGUUGACCUUCCCAUUGAUCCACUACAUCCUCGCUCAGUUGCUUCUGCUAUGUUUCUUCUCUAUGCCAUUGCCGGCUGCUGGCGUGCCUGACAUCGCACCUUAUGUGACCUAAUAUGAUGCUCCUCUACAUGUUCUUCUCACCCCGGUUUUCAUGAGGAGAGAUAUUGUUCUGCGGUUCUGUAGCUCUACUCCAUAGCAAUGAUGGAGUCGCCUCCAGAUGGAUAGCAAUUAUCUCGGAUCAUGAGCUGUCUACGCAACGACCAGGGGCAUAUCCUUCUCCUACCACUAACACCUUCAUCCUAUUUGAGCCAAAAUGGCUUUGGUGCCCUCUCUCUCUCAUGGUGAGGCUGUGCACGCUUGCCAUGGUUGUGGCUACGAAAUCUCACACUGAGUCGCUUCGGUCGGGCACUAUUCAGGUACAACUCACUUUGCUCCACCAUUGUUGGUUGCUGUACAUCACAUGCUUGACGAAACUUCAAAGAUGGUGUUGAUCUUGUUCUUGCUUGACCAUCCUUGUUAUAAAUCAUUAUUGGGUUCUAGCUAGGGUCUUAGCGAUUGAUAAUUUCUCGAUUAUAUUGCCGAAAAUGUAGUUCUUAUUGUCAAAUUGUUAUGGCAGCAUGAGUGAAAAUAUGUUCCUUUUAAAUGCUUAGAUUCUAUAGAAACCUCUGGUCUAUAUCCUAAAUUACUGUAUUGUGUGCUUUUGUAAAAUAAACUGUAUUGAUGCAAUUUAUAUAUGUAGUACAAUGGUUUUACUCACAUCACAAAUAUCUGACAACAAGAGUGGUCCCGAGUUAACUUGCAACCAAAACAUUUAAAUUCCAGUUCAACAUUGCAUGUUCCUAUCUAAUAAACAGUCAAAUGUUUCAGACUAAAGUGAGAGUUUCUAGCAUAUUCCUCUUUUACGGUGACGCCAGAUUCGAAUUUGAAGGCGUACUUGUCCCUGAGCUGGUGGUGCCUGAGAACAACAACGACAACAUUCUGGUGCAUCAGGGGCACACAUCGUCUCCAAGCUCUGUCGCAAGCAACGCAGGCACGCCUCAGGCUCAAAGUCCGGUUGCUGUGCAGGCGAGCGGCAGCAGCCACUUACGUCUCUUCUAAGAAGGGCGCCGCCUUGGAGGAGCAUAAUGAGAGAAGCAAGUCGACACCGACUACAGCGGCGCAUGAGCCAACAAAGGGGCAGGAUCAUUGGAGACGACGGACACAGAGGCGCGUGCUAGGCAUGCCAAUCAUCAAACACUAGGGAGCGAUCCCACCCCCGAUGCCACAGUACAUGCAGUCGUCGCUGCCGCCUCUACAUGCCAUGAUCUACAGGCAAGUGCCUGCUCAGCAACGUACAAGAGAGGUCAGCGUGGGGCCUACUCGCCAAGAUGAUGCUUCUCUUCUCGUGCUUAUUUACUUGCCUUCUAUGUGUGACGAGAAGGAGCAGGAGAUUCAGAGGCUCAGGUUGGCAUCGCUAGGUGAGUUCCCUGCUGAUUUGACGAGCACGUGAUAUAGACUGUGGUCGGGUUCCUUCCUAACUCUGCUGGGCCUAAUGAAGAGAAAGAAUCAACUUUUGAGCUUAAUUGGCUAGAUCCAACCAGGCAGCUGCACAACAUUGUCAAGGAGAAGAUGAGAACAAUGCGAUGCUCAAAGAAGCAGGCUCUAGUUUUGGUAAAUGAGUAGUGAUGUUCUUGCAACCACCGAAACAAAUCUGAAAAAUAAGACAAAGACAAACAGGUUGAGAGGUUGGAUAAUGAUAUGGAA